UCGGAAGUGGCUUUUUCUGCACUUUUUCAGACGCUGUUCCGAAUCCUGCUUAGUCUUUGUCCCUGAAUGUUGGUGUACGGUGAAAAACGAGCACCCUGACUUCGGGGGACUUUGGGGAGCCGGACUGGUUUGGGAGCAGAAACGCAGGUGGAUCUCGGGCGGGCAGAAGUGAGCUGCAGGUAUAUAGGUAGGAAACGUACAUGUGAAAACCAAGAAAUGAUAUCCAUGCAACAGACAAGUAAGGACACAGCCACGAUAAUGUCAAUGAUUCCAUGAGAGUGCACAUUGGAAUGAAGACAUAGGAAUGUCACCUGUGUGGAAAAUCCUUCAGAUGAUGUGGAUGGGUCCAGAAUUCACAAUAGCUGAAGGCUGACCACUGCCAUCCCAGGCCUCUGUGACUUCAUUGCCUCUGCCUCUCCCCCUCUGAAGUGAUAAAACAAUCUGAGACCUUAAGAAGCUGAACACCCUGCUUAUCUGACCCUUUUUUCCUGAGAACAAACUCUGGGCUGCAUCUUUCCAAUGGGCUGCUCUUUCCUGAUAGGCUACCCGUUAGCCCACUGGAAACUGACCCUCCCCCAAACUUCCCAGUAAAAGACUGUGCUCCACCCCUAAGUGGGACCAGAGAUUCUGAGUGUUUAACUCCUCCGCACCUGCCUGCAUAUUAAAAAGUUACUCCUCUCUCUCCGGAGUGCUGCCUUUUUGUUUCUCGGCUGUCUGCUUUUCUGCAACACAGACACUCUUCUUAUCUUUUGCAACAUAAGAGAGUACACAGUUGGGACCAGCA
Long non-coding RNA from Tupaia belangeri chinensis (Chinese tree shrew), 784 nucleotides. RefSeq lists it as uncharacterized. The transcript is spliced from 3 exons. The record is from RefSeq and is a predicted model, not a curated record. NCBI's taxonomy places the organism in Eukaryota, Metazoa, Chordata, Mammalia, Scandentia, Tupaiidae.